UUACCAGGCACGUUAUGGUGGGCACUCUAAGGAGACUGCCGGUGACAAACCGGAGGGAAGGUGGGGAUGACGUCAAGUCAUCAUGGGCCCUUACGGCCUGGGCUACACACGUGCUACAAUGGUCGGUACAAAGGGUUGCCAAGCCGCGAGGUGGAGCUAAUACCCAUAAAACCGAUCGUAGUCCGGAUCGCAGUCUGCAACUCGACUGCGUGAAGUCGGAAUCGCUAGUAAUCGUGAAUCAGAAUGUCACGGUGAAUACGUUCCCGGGCCUU
Molecule: ribosomal RNA, 272 nt
Filed under: uncultured Pseudomonas sp.
Lineage: Bacteria; Pseudomonadati; Pseudomonadota; Gammaproteobacteria; Pseudomonadales; Pseudomonadaceae
Description: partial 16S ribosomal RNA
Rfam family: Bacterial small subunit ribosomal RNA
Source: RNAcentral